This 497-nucleotide ribosomal RNA is filed under the name uncultured bacterium. RNAcentral describes it as "partial 16S ribosomal RNA". It matches the Rfam family "Bacterial small subunit ribosomal RNA", at positions 28 to 507 of the family's 1533-position model. The record is from RNAcentral.
GAUGAACGCUGGCGGCGUGCCUAAUACAUGCAAGUCGAGCGAACAGACGAGGAGCUUGCUCCUCUGACGUUAGCGGCGGACGGGUGAGUAACACGUGGAUAACCUACCUAUAAGACUGGGAUAACUUCGGGAAACCGGAGCUAAUACCGGAUAAUAUAUUGAACCGCAUGGUUCAAUAGUGAAAGACGGUUUUGCUGUCACUUAUAGAUGGAUCCGCGCCGCAUUAGCUAGUUGGUAAGGUAACGGCUUACCAAGGCAACGAUGCGUAGCCGACCUGAGAGGGUGAUCGGCCACACUGGAACUGAGACACGGUCCAGACUCCUACGGGAGGCAGCAGUAGGGAAUCUUCCGCGAUGGGCGAAAGCGUGACGGAGCAAAGCCGCGUGAGUGAUGAAGGUCUUCGGAUCGUAAAACUCUGUUAUUAGGGAAGAACAAAUGUGUAAGUAACUAUGCACGUAUUGACGGUACCUAAUCAGAAAGCCACGGCUAACUACGUG